RNAcentral lists this unclassified non-coding RNA (1852 nucleotides) under Drosophila yakuba. RNAcentral's name for it is "Pk17E". Lineage: Eukaryota; Metazoa; Arthropoda; Insecta; Diptera; Drosophilidae. The record is from RNAcentral.
CGACAGCUGGGCACACUGCUAACUGCACAACAACAAAAACAACACUCAGAAAAAACAGCAAAAUAGAGCCAGCCUUAGCUACCAAAUAUUUAUAUUAGAAUUUCACCUUACACGGCUGCGAAGUGCGCGCUUUUUACUGCGAAUUUUCGGCUGCCCCCGCACACACGCGGACGCACACGAACGGUGAUUGCGCAAUUUCAGUGGAACGAGUGUGGUGGUGUGCGGUGUGUGUGUGUGUGUAAACAACAAACGGACGACAAGGAAACAGAAACAGAAACAACGGGAAUUGAUUAGGACGAGUGGAGCUUUUGAUGGGCAACUCGCAACCGCGUAAUGCAAGCAGAAGCAGAAGGACAUCCCAGUGGCCACAAGGCGCAGCGGAACUAGGCGCCACAGCCACCGAUCACCACUACCACCAGGAGGAGCUGCAGCAGCACCAGCAACAGCAGGAGCAGCAGCAACAACAACAGCCGCAACAGGAGCAGGAGCAACCUAGCAGCAGAAGAAUCCAGUUCCAACCACAAACCAAUCUCCCAACCCAAUCCAAUCCUCCGGGCGUGGAGGAACAGCCUGUACAAUCACAACAGCAACAGCUUUCCACCUGGAGUCUUGGCAGCCUUAGCGGAGGACGACUCAACUGGAGCUUCUCCGGCGCCCGCAACUCAUUUCGUCAUCGAAACAAGGCCACGCGCAAGAGCUUGACCUCACUUCAUGGCUCUCGUCGUGGCAAGACACAGUGGCACCGACCUCUGACCAACUCAAUCUUCAACUCGCACUUCAAGGAGUCCAGCAAGAACGACCUGUACCGCAUUGAUCAUUUGGUGGCCAAGGGAGCCUUUGGCGUGGUCUUCAAGGUGUCCAGCAAGACUGACAACAGUCUGUGCUACGCCCUAAAAGUGCUGAAGAAAUCAAAGCUCAUCCAAGACAACAGCGUGCGGCAGAUUAAGGACGAGGCGGACAUACAGAAGGUGUGCGGCCAUCAUCCGUUUAUCGUGAAGCAAAUUGAUCUGUGGCAGAAUCGCCACAACCUGCAUAUUCUAUCGGAGUACGUACCCAACGGCGAGUUGUUCUCAAAAAUAACCCACUUCUCCAUUGAUUUGGUGCGAUUAUACAUCGGCGAGAUAGCACUUGCCUUGGAUUUUCUCCACAACGCUGGGAUUAUAUAUCGCGAUGCGAAGCCGGAGAACAUCCUGCUAACUCAACAGUUUCACAUAAAGCUAACCGACUUCGGCCUUAGCAAGUGGCUCAAACUGGGGGCAAACACGCGCACCAUGUGUGGCACUUUCAAAUACAUGGAUGUCCAAUAGGUUCCAUGGACCACCGCGCUUAGCCCACGAGCAUGAUAUAGGUAAAUUCUGGACUCACAUGUCCACGGCAGGACUUAAAAGCAGGAGGGUGACUUGCGUAGAUAGCCAUGGAGAGCCAAACGAAGAUGGGUGUAGAUGGCAUAGGCCAACGUAAGCUAUCCAGAUCCCACCAAAUGUAUAAGCUAUAACCCCUUUAUCAACCAUGCAAAACGUUCCAAAAGCAAGCUUUGAGCUCCAAGUUUUGAGCAAGCAGUUAGCUGUCAGCCGAGCAAAAUAUAUUGUGUUAAUUAUAUCUUAAUCGCCAGUGUAAAUAACGAAAAUGAUGCAAGCUAUGAAAUUGUACGCGGUGUGCGAGAGCAGAGCAGAAGAAAAGCAACCUUAACGAGUUCAGAACCCAUCUAAACCUAAUGUUGAGGUCGAGGCAAGUGGCGGUGAGGUGGUGAGGCGGUGAGGCGGUAGAAAUCACCGGAGAUUCUGUGCGGAGAACCCUAUGGCCAUGCGGUGGACUGGUGGGCCUUGGGCGUUAUUGCCUGUCAGAUGCUGAC